GAUGAACGCUGGCGGCGUGCCUAAUACAUGCAAGUCGAGCGAACGGACGAGAAGCUUGCUUCUCUGAUGUUAGCGGCGGACGGGUGAGUAACACGUGGAUAACCUACCUAUAAGACUGGGAUAACUUCGGGAAACCGGAGCUAAUACCGGAUGAUAUUUUGAACCGCAUGGUUCAAAAGUGAAAGACGGUCUUGCUGUCACUUAUAGAUGGAUCCGCGCUGCAUUAGCUAGUUGGUAAGGUAACGGCUUACCAAGGCAACGAUGCAUAGCCGACCUGAGAGUGAGGGGGGCCCGAUGGGAACGGAGACGCGCCCCAGACGCAAACGGGAGGGAGCAGGGGGGUAUCUGCGGCAAGGGGCGAAGGCUGGAAAGAGCAACGCCGCGGGGUGGAGGAGGUUCGUAGGAACGGAAAACUUUGUUGUGGGGAAAAAAAAAAUGUGUAAGUAACUGCGCACAGCUGGCCGGAACCUAAUCAGAAGCACGGGCAAACCCAGGUC
Molecule: ribosomal RNA, 497 nt
Filed under: uncultured bacterium
Lineage: Bacteria
Description: partial 16S ribosomal RNA
Rfam family: Bacterial small subunit ribosomal RNA
Source: RNAcentral